UUUAACCAUUCUUGCUCACUGUCAUGACUUAUAGAGACACUUAAUGGAACUGGGCCAUCAAUCACUCAACUCAACGUGAGUUCUUGGCUGCUAGUUAGCAAACGUUACGGCGUCUGGGCUUGUAGCUGCACGAAGUUCCCCCCUGAGAAUGAAAAGUUUGGAGGCUUCACCAGACUGAAACUGAGUUAGCUAAGGAGGACGUUUUCUGACUGCGUUUUCUGACUGAAAGUGGAUUCUUUGCAGGAAUAAACGCUGACCGUUUAACAAUUAUUUUUAUUUUCGUGGAUUUGCAACACUUUUUCAACCGGGAAUUAUGGACUGCCUUCUUAAAAUACAGCUGCUACUGAAGUGCCUCUGGGCCAGACACUUGACCUUCAAGAGCUCCAGUUGCUUGGCAGCUAAAGGAGCAUGACUACACUGGGCUGCUCCCGGCUGAGAGUCGCAGCGAACCUCUGAAACUCCUCUGAAAAGUGUUUGUGGUCAGAUCGCUUCGUUUGCUGACGGAUAGAGAAUUAAUUGCCAGCAAAUUUGAUAAGGAAUUAAUUAAAUGGGUCGCUUUUCAUGCAAAAAUGCCCAACGUCC
This is a long non-coding RNA of Mugil cephalus (flathead mullet), 582 nucleotides long. RefSeq lists it as uncharacterized. NCBI's taxonomy places the organism in Eukaryota, Metazoa, Chordata, Actinopteri, Mugiliformes, Mugilidae. The record is from RefSeq and is a predicted model, not a curated record. The transcript has 2 exons.